UACGGAGGAUCCAAGCGUUAUCCGGAAUCAUUGGGUUUAAAGGGUCCGUAGGCGGUUUGGUAAGUCAGUGGUGAAAGCCCAUCGCUCAACGGUGGAACGGCCAUUGAUACUGCCAGACUUGAAUUAUUAGGAAGUAACUAGAAUAUGUAGUGUAGCGGUGAAAUGCUUAGAGAUUACAUGGAAUACCAAUUGCGAAGGCAGUUGACUACUAAUGGAUUGACGCUGAUGGACGAAAGCGUGGGUAGCGAACAGG
This 253-nucleotide ribosomal RNA is filed under the name uncultured bacterium. RNAcentral's name for it is "partial 16S ribosomal RNA". It matches the Rfam family "Bacterial small subunit ribosomal RNA", at positions 524 to 776 of the family's 1533-position model. The record is from RNAcentral.